CAAGUAGAGUUUCAUGACCCUCUCCUCUCAUUCAAUGGGGUGCUCUUUAUAGCAUGUAGGGGUGCCACUGUGAGGUCCCAUGAAGAAGAAAGUAAAAAAAAAAAAUUACUUUCUUGCAAAAUCCUAGAUUUUGAAACCCUAGGUGUUGUUGUAUGCGAUGCAAGUUAUGAAGAAACUAAUUACAUCUAAUCUUGAUUAAUCAAAAUUAUUUUGAUUUAAAAUCAUAAAAAAUUAGAUUU
This 239-nucleotide long non-coding RNA is filed under the name Elaeis guineensis (African oil palm). RNAcentral describes it as "long non-coding RNA (EGUI_LNC055977)". Lineage: Eukaryota; Viridiplantae; Streptophyta; Magnoliopsida; Arecales; Arecaceae. The record is from RNAcentral.